CCUACGGGAGGCAGCAGUGGGGAAUAUUGCACAAUGGGCGAAAGCCUGAUGCAGCAACGCCGCGUGAGCGAUGAAGGCCUUCGGGUCGUAAAGCUCUGUUCUCAAGGAAGAUAAUGACGGUACUUGUGGAGGAAGCCCCGGCUAACUACGUGCCAGCAGCCGUGGUAAUAGGUCGGGGGCUAGCGUUAUCCGGAAUUACUGGGCGUAAGGGGUGCGUAGGUGGUUUCUUAGGUCAGAGGUGAAAGGCUAGGGGUAAACCGUAGUAAGCCUUUGAAACUGGGGAACUUGAGUGCAGGAGAGGAGAGUGGAAUUCCUAGUGUAGCGGUGAAAGGCGUAGAUAUUAGGAAGAACACCAGUUGCGAAGGCAGCUCUCUGGACUGUAACUGACACUGAGGCACGAAAGCGUGGGGAGCAAACAGGAUUAGAUACCCGAGUAGUC
RNAcentral lists this ribosomal RNA (439 nucleotides) under uncultured bacterium. RNAcentral describes it as "partial 16S ribosomal RNA". It matches the Rfam family "Bacterial small subunit ribosomal RNA", at positions 338 to 795 of the family's 1533-position model. The record is from RNAcentral.